RNAcentral lists this long non-coding RNA (231 nucleotides) under Panax ginseng (ginseng). Its description in RNAcentral is "long non-coding RNA (PGIN_LNC011687)". The record is from RNAcentral. Lineage: Eukaryota; Viridiplantae; Streptophyta; Magnoliopsida; Apiales; Araliaceae.
GGAACUUUUUAUCAAAUUUGGAACUUUUUCAUGUCGGGUUACUAUUCAUGAGUUACUAUUCAUGAGUUACUAUUCACGAGUUACUAUACACGAGUACUAUUCACGAAGUAUGAUGAUGUAUUUUGUGAAAUUUCUAUCUUUUGGUGUCGGAGUUACUAUUCACGUAUAUGGCACUAUUCACGUAUACGGCACUAUUCACAGAAAAAUUAAAUUUUCUUUUCUAUGUCCAAG